RNAcentral lists this ribosomal RNA (425 nucleotides) under uncultured bacterium. RNAcentral describes it as "bacterial SSU rRNA". It matches the Rfam family "Bacterial small subunit ribosomal RNA", at positions 356 to 773 of the family's 1533-position model. The record is from RNAcentral.
AGGGAAUCUUCCACAAUGGACGGAAGUCUGAUGGAGCAACGCCGCGUGAGCGAAGAAGGUUUUCGGAUCGUAAAGCUCUGUUGUAAGGGAAGAACACGUACGGGAGUCACUGCCCGUACCUUGACGGUACCUUAUCAGAAAGCCACGGCUAACUACGUGCCAGCAGCCGCGGUAAUACGUAGGUGGCAAGCGUUGUCCGGAAUUAUUGGGCGUAAAGCGCGCGCAGGCGGUCCUUUAAGUCUGAUGUGAAAGCCCACGGCUCAACCGUGGAGGGUCAUUGGAAACUGGAGGACUUGAGUACAGAAGAGGAAAGCGGAAUUCCACGUGUAGCGGUGAAAUGCGUAGAGAUGUGGAGGAACACCAGUGGCGAAGGCGGCUUUCUGGUCUGUAACUGACGCUGAGGCGCGAAAGCGUGGGGAGCAAAC